Molecule: long non-coding RNA, 1426 nt
Organism: Neofelis nebulosa (Clouded leopard)
Lineage: Eukaryota; Metazoa; Chordata; Mammalia; Carnivora; Felidae
Exons: 3
Source: RefSeq, a predicted model, not a curated record
AGCACAGCCCGGAGUCUGCCAAAGACUCCUCAGGCUUCUGUGUUCACUUCUUUGGCACUUUUGGGUUCUGUAGUAGAUCUGUAACAAGAGGAAGUCAUUCACAAGUCGGCUUAUCUUCUAGCUUUUAAUGAGCCUGGUGCCCAGAGGUCCUUAACUAAGGAUGCCCACCUCUGUCAGGUUCCUAUUCUUCCUUCAAGGCUCCUCAAUUCCAUCCCAUCCCCACCCCCCAUCCCAGACAUCCCUUGGCAGAUGGGAUCUUUUUUGUCUUCUGGUCAUCCAUGGCAUUUGGUUGGCUCUGCUCAGUUGGGUAUCUUAUACCCAAACUUGAACUAUUUUUGAUUAUGUAUAUGUCUUAUUCUCCUUUAGACUGGUACCUCCUUAAGGGCAGGUAGGUAGGACAGACUUUAUCAGAAUGGCCAAUAAUCUGGUUGUGAGAUUAUAUUACAGUCUUGCCAGUCUUUGAGGGAAACUGGGUAAAGGGUACAUAGGAUCUCCCUGUAUUAUAUCUUAUAACUGCAUAUACACCUAUAAUUACCUCCAAAUAAAAAAAGCUUAAUUAAAAAGCAAAACACACGGAACCAUAAGGCCUCAGAGGUGGAAAAAACUCAAGAGAUCAGCUAGUGCUGUCUUUACCCAAUGUGUGAAUUUCUGCCAAGCAUCCCACAUGGAGAUUUACCUAGCUUUUUUCAAACCCCAGCAAUGGAGAACUCAUUCUCUCAUCAGAAAGAGCAUUCCAUUUCUAGACAAUUCUAAUUCUAUUCUGAAACAAAACUGGCCGGGCUGUAACUUUCUCCUUGGAGCCCACACAGAACAAGUUGCUCCCUUAUCCCACAACCUUUCAGUGACUAGUGUGGAGAAGAUUCAGUGAGACAUUGGAAGCCACUGAAGGCAGAGAUGGAGCUCCAGCUUAGAAAUGGGUCCCAACUACCAGCUGUGACACUUUCUGCUCACCUGGAUGAAAAACCACAAGUCACAACUGGCUCCCAAAGGAAAGAGUAAGUAUCAAAAUAGCCGAUAUUUGGAUGUUGGUUGCUGUCUCCCAGAACACUUCCUCAAAAACUAUGAUCUCCUGCAAAAGCUCAGCCUUAUUGAAUUAUAUUCCUGCUCACCCCUGUGGCAGAGGACAAAAAUGACCACAAGAGUUUGUAGCUCCUCUCAUUUCUAGGAUAGCUCAUUUCCUUGUUCCCUUUUUUUAUUGUGGUAACAUAUACAUAACAUAAAAUUUUCUAUUUUAACUAUUUUUAAAUGCACAGCACUGUGGCAUUAAGCACCUUCACAUUGUUAGAUAGCCAUCACCACCAUCCAUCUCCAGAACUCUUCAUCUUCCCCAGCUGAAAUACUAGACUCAUGAAACACUGACUCCUUCUCUCCUCCCUUCGCCCCUGACAACCACCAUUCUUCUUUCUAUCGCCCUGCAUUUGACUCC